RNAcentral lists this ribosomal RNA (741 nucleotides) under Triticum aestivum (bread wheat). RNAcentral's name for it is "partial small subunit ribosomal RNA". The record is from RNAcentral. Lineage: Eukaryota; Viridiplantae; Streptophyta; Magnoliopsida; Poales; Poaceae.
ACUAUCCAAACCAGAUCACAGCACGGCGUCUUCCGACCCAAACGGAUCUUCGAUCUCUCCGUCACCACGCCUCCCUCCCCCAUACCCCGCAACUAUCGCGCCGCCCUCCUUGACCAGAAUUGGUCCGACGCCAUGCAUGCCGAGUUCACUGCCCUUCUUCAGAAUCACACCUGGACGCUUGUUCCCAAACCUCCCGGCGCCAACAUUGUCUCUGGUAAAUGGGUAUAUCGACACAAAUUCCAUUCUGAUGGUUCCCUUGCUCGUCACAAAGCUAGAUGGGUUGUUCGCGGCUUUUCUCAAGAACACGGCAUCGACUAUGAUGAAACAUUCUCCCCUGUCGUCAAACCAGCCACAAUUCGUAUCGUUUUGUCCCUCGCCGUCUCAUCUCAUUGGCCAAUUCAUCAACUCGAUGUUAAAAAUGCGUUUCUUCACGGCACUUUAGCAGAGACUGUAUAUUGCCAGCAGCCACAGGGAUUCGAAGACCCCUCUCAUCCCCACCAUGUUUGCCUUCUUCAAAAAUCCUUAUACGGCCUCAAACAGGCUCCUCGCGCGUGGUUCACCAGGUUUUCUUCCUUUAUUUCUACCAUCGGUUUCUCUGCUUCUAAAUCUGAUUCCUCCCUAUUUACUUUCCACUCUUCUACAGCCACUGCCUAUAUUCUUCUUUAUGUCGACGACAUAGUCCUCACAGCAUCUUCCACUGAAUUCCUUCAGCAGGUCAUUUCUACUCUCAGCUCCGAAUUC